Molecule: ribosomal RNA, 473 nt
Filed under: uncultured organism
Description: partial 16S ribosomal RNA
Rfam family: Bacterial small subunit ribosomal RNA
Source: RNAcentral
CACUCCUACGGGAGGCAGCAGUGGGGAAUUUUGGACAAUGGGCGAAAGCCUGAUCCAGCCAUGCCGCGUGCAGGAUGAAGGCCUUCGGGUUGUAAACUGCUUUUGUACGGAACGAAACGGCCUUUUCUAAUAAAGAGGGCUAAUGACGGUACCGUAAGAAUAAGCACCGGCUAACUACGUGCCAGCAGCCGCGGUAAUACGUAGGGUGCAAGCGUUAAUCGGAAUUACUGGGUGUAAAGCGUGCGCAGGCGGUUAUGUAAGACAGUUGUGAAAUCCCCGGGCUCAACCUGGGAACUGCAUCUGUGACUGCAUAGCUAGAGUACGGUAGAGGGGGAUGGAAUUCCGCGUGUAGCAGUGAAAUGCGUAGAUAUGCGGAGGAACACCGAUGGCGAAGGCAAUCCCCUGGACCUGUACUGACGCUCAUGCACGAAAGCGUGGGGAGCAAACAGGAUUAGAAACCCUGGUAGUCCCAU